Long non-coding RNA from Vespa crabro (European hornet), 539 nucleotides. RefSeq lists it as uncharacterized. The record is from RefSeq and is a predicted model, not a curated record. The transcript is spliced from 2 exons. NCBI's taxonomy places the organism in Eukaryota, Metazoa, Arthropoda, Insecta, Hymenoptera, Vespidae.
GUUAUUCGCUUGGGACCGGACGUAGCACGCGAGAGAACGAGAGAAUGAGAAAGAAAGAGAAAGAUAAAGAUAAAGAGAAAGAGAAAAAGAGAGAGAAGAUGGGAGAGGGACGACUCGAGUCUCUUGGUGUGGCGGAAUCCGUAAAUUGGCCUCGAAAUAGUAUCGUGUCGCGUGUGCGAGAAAGAGAUAGAGUCGGACUACACCUUGCGUAAAUCUCGUGCGCGGGUCAGGGACCAGGAUUCCUUUCUCGGAGCAAAGCAAAAGAAGGAGAAGAAGGAGAAGAAGAAGAUGAAGAAGAUGAAAAAGAAGGAGAAGAAGAACAAGGAGAAGAAGAAGAAGAAGUGGGAAAGGAAGAAAGAAACGAGACAGUGUUAACCCUCCAACCAACUCAACGAACGUUAAUCUCCCUUUUACGAGCUUCUUUCAGUUUUACCAAAGUAGAAUCAACGGAAUUAAGCUAUCCGUUAACUCUAUUCGCGAAUAUAACAACGAAAGUAUGAAAGGAAAUAAAUAUAGAUUCAUACGUCGUCGUUGCUUCA